UACGGGGGGAGCAAGCGUUGUUCGGAUUUACUGGGCGUAAAGGGCGCGUAGGCGGCCACCGCAAGUCGACUGUGAAAUCUCCGGGCUUAACCCGGAAAGGUCAGCCGACACUGCGGGGCUAGAGUGCAGAAGGGGCAACUGGAAUUCUCGGUGUAGCGGUGAAAUGCGUAGAUAUCGAGAGGAACACCUGCGGCGAAGGCGGGUUGCUGGGCUGACACUGACGCUGAUGCGCGAAAGCCAGGGGAGCGAACGGG
RNAcentral lists this ribosomal RNA (254 nucleotides) under uncultured bacterium. RNAcentral's name for it is "partial 16S ribosomal RNA". It matches the Rfam family "Bacterial small subunit ribosomal RNA", at positions 524 to 776 of the family's 1533-position model. The record is from RNAcentral.